RNAcentral lists this ribosomal RNA (493 nucleotides) under uncultured bacterium. RNAcentral describes it as "bacterial SSU rRNA". It matches the Rfam family "Bacterial small subunit ribosomal RNA", at positions 8 to 518 of the family's 1533-position model. The record is from RNAcentral.
AGAGUUUGAUCAUGGCUCAGGAUGAACGCUGGCGGCGUGCCUAAUACAUGCAAGUCGAACGCAUUACUCGGUAGUGAGUGGCGAACGGGUGAGUAACACGUAGGUAACUUACCUCUAAGACGAGGAUAACGACUGGAAACGGUCGCUAAAACUGGAUAGGAUCAUUUGAGGCAUCUCGAAUGAUUUAAAGGGGCUUUCAAGCCACACUUAGAGAAAGGCCUGCGGCGCAUUAGCUAGUUGGUGGGGUAGAGGCCUACCAAGGCGAUGAUGCGUAGCCGGACUGAGAGGUCGAACGGCCACAUUGGGACUGAGAUACGGUCCAGACUCCUACGGGAGGCAGCAGUGGGGAAUAUUGGGCAAUGGGGGAAACCCUGAACCCCAGCGACGCCGCGUGGGUGAAGAAAUCCUUCGGGAUGUAAAGCCCUGUUGUAUGGGAAGAGCGGAAGACGGUACCAUACGAGGAAGCCCCGGCAAACUACGUGCCAGCAGCAGC